This 253-nucleotide ribosomal RNA is filed under the name uncultured bacterium. Its description in RNAcentral is "partial 16S ribosomal RNA". It matches the Rfam family "Bacterial small subunit ribosomal RNA", at positions 524 to 776 of the family's 1533-position model. The record is from RNAcentral.
UACGUAGGGGGCAAGCGUUGUCCGGAAUCAUUGGGCGUAAAGAGCGUGUAGGCGGCCAGAUAAGUCCGCUGUGAAAUCUCGAGGCUCAACUUCGAGCUGUCGGUGGAAACUGUCUGGCUAGAGUCCGGAAGAGGAGAAUGGAAUUCCUGGUGUAGCGGUGAAAUGCGCAGAUAUCAGGAGGAACACCAAUGGCGAAGGCAGCUCGCUGGGACGGUACUGACGCUGAGGCGCGAAAGCGUGGGGAGCGAACAGG